UACGAAGGGGGCUAGCGUUGCUCGGAAUCACUGGGCGUAAAGGGUGCGUAGGCGGGUCUUUAAGUCAGGGGUGAAAUCCUGGAGCUCAACUCCAGAACUGCCUUUGAUACUGAGGAUCUUGAGUUCGGGAGAGGGUGAGUGGAACUGCGAGUGUAGAGGUGAAAUUCGUAGAUAUUCGCAAGAACACCAGUGGCGAAGGCGGCCCGCUGGGCAGUGGCUGACGCUGAGGCGCGACAGC
RNAcentral lists this ribosomal RNA (238 nucleotides) under uncultured bacterium. RNAcentral's name for it is "partial 16S ribosomal RNA". It matches the Rfam family "Bacterial small subunit ribosomal RNA", at positions 524 to 760 of the family's 1533-position model. The record is from RNAcentral.